This is a small nucleolar RNA of Cornus florida, 107 nucleotides long. The record is from RefSeq and is a predicted model, not a curated record. NCBI's taxonomy places the organism in Eukaryota, Viridiplantae, Streptophyta, Magnoliopsida, Cornales, Cornaceae.
AAGUCAUGAUAUGGACAUUUCCAUAACAAGUCGUUCAAACACUCCUAUGCUUCAUGCAAAGGUUCUUCCUUACCUUGGGAAAAUUCACAGAUGGAAGUUCUCAUUAC